GCCAGGCACCGGCCGACGCCACAGAAACUCCACCCGAAAUCCUGGAAGCCAGUGGGGCCUGUCCACAGACCACACCUGGAGGAGGAAGACACAGAUCGUCGUAUCCAGCCUGCAUGCAGGAGUCUGGCUUGCUUUCCUUUUUCACAGUGAAUAAUAUGCUCUCCAUGUAAGUGUUGUAUUUUUGUUU
Molecule: long non-coding RNA, 187 nt
Organism: Poecilia latipinna (sailfin molly)
Lineage: Eukaryota; Metazoa; Chordata; Actinopteri; Cyprinodontiformes; Poeciliidae
Exons: 2
Source: RefSeq, a predicted model, not a curated record